This 468-nucleotide ribosomal RNA is filed under the name uncultured bacterium. RNAcentral describes it as "partial 16S ribosomal RNA". It matches the Rfam family "Bacterial small subunit ribosomal RNA", at positions 28 to 507 of the family's 1533-position model. The record is from RNAcentral.
GACGAACGCUGGCGGCGUGCUUAACACAUGCAAGUCGAACGGAAAGGCCCUGCUUUUGUGGGGUGCUCGAGUGGCGAACGGGUGAGUAACACGUGAGUAACCUGCCCUUGACUUUGGGAUAACUUCAGGAAACUGGGGCUAAUACCGGAUAGGAGCUCCUGCUGCAUGGUGGGGGUUGGAAAGUUUCGGCGGUUGGGGAUGGACUCGCGGCUUAUCAGCUUGUUGGUGGGGUAGUGGCUUACCCAGGCUUUGACGGGUAGCCGGCCUGAGAGGGUGAGCGGCCGCCUUGGGACUGAGAUAAGGCACAGACGCGUACGGGAGGCAGCAGUGGGGAAUAUUGCACAAUGGGCGGAAGCCGGAUGCAGCAACGCCGCGUGCGGGAUGGCGGCCUUCGGGGUGUGAACCGCUUGCGCCUGUGACGAAGCGUGUGUGACGGUAAUGGGUAAAGAAGCACCGGCUAACUACGUG